CUUGGUCAUUUAGAGGAAGUAAAAGUCGUAACAAGGUCUCCGUAGGUGAACCUGCGGAGGGAUCAUUACAGAGAAACUCGCCCGCAAGGGUGACUCUCCAACCCUAUGUUAAUUAUACCUUUGUUGCUUUGGCGAGCCGCUUCGGCCACCGGCUUCACGCUGGUGAGCGCUCGCCAGAGGAUCCUAAACUCUGUUUAUUAGUGUCGUCUGAGUACUAUAUAAUAGUUAAAACUUUCAAUAACGGAUCUCUUGGUUCUGGCAUCGAUGAAGAACGCAGCGAAAUGCGAUAAGUAAUGUGAAUUGCAGAAUUCAGUGAAUCAUCGAAUCUUUGAACGCACAUUGCGCCCCUUGGUAUUCCGAGGGGCAUGCCUGUUCGAGCGUCAUUAUAACCACUCAAGCCUGGCUUGGUAUUGGGGUUUUCGCGUGUUCGCGGCCCUUAAAAUCAGUGGCGGUGCCGUCUGGCUCUAAGCGUAGUAAUUUCUCUCGCUAUAGGGUUCCGGUGGUUACUUGCCAAAACCCCCCCAUUUUUUCUAGGUUGACCUCGGAUCAGGUAGGGAUACCCGCUGAACUUAAGCAUAUCAAUAAGCGGAGGA
Molecule: ribosomal RNA, 593 nt
Filed under: uncultured sordariomyceta
Lineage: Eukaryota; Fungi; Ascomycota
Description: eukaryotic LSU rRNA
Rfam family: 5.8S ribosomal RNA (bases 230-383)
Source: RNAcentral